CUAUGGAGCUUUAGACACAAAGACAGAUCAUGUUAAACACCCCCCAAUAAAGGCCUAAACUUAAUGAUCCCCUGUCCUAAUGUCUUCGGUUGGGGCGACCAUGGGGAAACACAAAUCCCCCAUGUGGAAUAGGAGGACAAUCCCAUAUUAUUUUCCUCUCCUCCCACAAGCAAGAGCCACAACUCUAGCUAACAGAACUUUUGACCUUAUAUGAUCCGGCGCACGCCGAUCAACGGACCAAGUUACCCUAG
Molecule: ribosomal RNA, 251 nt
Filed under: Trachurus japonicus (Japanese jack mackerel)
Lineage: Eukaryota; Metazoa; Chordata; Actinopteri; Carangiformes; Carangidae
Description: partial 16S ribosomal RNA
Source: RNAcentral